GAAUUUUGGACAAUGGGCGAAAGCCUGAUCCAGCAAUGCCGCGUGCAGGAUGAAGGCCUUCGGGUUGUAAACUGCUUUUGUACGGAACGAAAAGCUUUGGGUUAAUACCCUGGAGUCAUGACGGUACCGUAAGAAUAAGCACCGGCUAACUACGUGCCAGCAGCCGCGGUAAUACGUCGGGUGCAAGCGUUAAUCGGAAUUACUGGGCGUAAAGGCGGGGGAGGCGGGUUUGGAAAGCAGGAGGGAAAUCCCCGGGCUCAACCUGGGAACUGCCUUUGUGACUGCAAGGCUAGAGUACGGCAGAGGGGGGUGGAAUUCCGCGUGUAGCAGUGAAAUGCGUAGAUAUGCGGAGGAACACCGAUGGCGAAGGCAACCCCCUGGGCCUGUACUGACGCUCAUGCACGAAAGCGUGGGGAGCAAACA
Molecule: ribosomal RNA, 423 nt
Filed under: uncultured bacterium
Lineage: Bacteria
Description: partial 16S ribosomal RNA
Rfam family: Bacterial small subunit ribosomal RNA
Source: RNAcentral